This 576-nucleotide unclassified non-coding RNA is filed under the name Hevea brasiliensis (rubber tree). The record is from RNAcentral. Lineage: Eukaryota; Viridiplantae; Streptophyta; Magnoliopsida; Malpighiales; Euphorbiaceae.
AAUCCUGAUUUGUUUGUUCAUUGAUAAAUCUGAAGAAUUCGCCGUAAUCUGAAGAAUUCGUCUCCAUUUUUCUGAUCCAAACUCGUUUCCGCCUCCCAGAUCUCCCUCUCACAAAUGACGACAUCGCGGCGUCUUGCGGAUCGGAAGGUGGAGAGGUUCGAGAAGAACAUUUUGAAGAGAGGGGCUGUGCCUGAGACUGCUACAAAGAAGGGAAAGGACUACCCUGUUGGCCCUAUUCUUCUUGGAUUCUUCGUUUUUGUCGUAAUUGGAUCAUCUCUGUUUCAGAUAAUCAGGACGGCAACAGGUGGAGGAAUGGCAUGAGCCAUCUUCAGUUCUGAUGAGAGGGGUAGCAGAAGAGGCAGUACGCCAGUACAUGAGGUUAAAACUUCUUGAGUUAUUUGUUUGUACUCUGUUCUGUGUCUGUGCUACCCUCUAGGAGAAGUUUGGUAGUGUAGAAAGAAAGUAAAGACCAUUAUGGUCAUCCUGUGAAGUACUCUUAUUAAAAAGUUAAUUUAAAUAACAAUGCACAUGCCUAAGUGCUAUGCUAUCCUAUAUCUAAUUUUGUUCAUUGUUUAU